UACGUAGGGUGCGAGCGUUGUCCGGAAUUAUUGGGCGUAAAGAGCUCGUAGGCGGUGUGUCGCGUCGGCCGUGAAAACCUGCAGCUUAACUGUGGGCUUGCGGUCGAUACGGGCAUCACUAGAGUUCGGCAGGGGAGACUGGAAUUCCUGGUGUAGCGGUGAAAUGCGCAGAUAUCAGGAGGAACACCGGUGGCGAAGGCGGCAUCCUGGACCGGCAUUGACGCUGAGGCGCGAAAGCCAGGGGAGCAAACGGG
RNAcentral lists this ribosomal RNA (254 nucleotides) under uncultured bacterium. RNAcentral's name for it is "partial 16S ribosomal RNA". It matches the Rfam family "Bacterial small subunit ribosomal RNA", at positions 524 to 776 of the family's 1533-position model. The record is from RNAcentral.